RNAcentral lists this ribosomal RNA (939 nucleotides) under uncultured bacterium. Its description in RNAcentral is "bacterial SSU rRNA". It matches the Rfam family "Bacterial small subunit ribosomal RNA", at positions 85 to 1022 of the family's 1533-position model. The record is from RNAcentral.
CUGCCGGCGAGUGGCGAACGGGUGAGUAAUGCAUCGGAACGUGUCCUGCCGUGGGGGAUAACUGGCCGAAAGGUCAGCUAAUACCGCAUGCGACCCACGGGUGAAAGGAGGGGAUCGAAAGACCUUCCGCGGCAGGGGCGGCCGAUGCCUGAUUAGCUGGUUGGCGGGGUAAGAGCCCACCAAGGCGACGAUCAGUAGCUGGUCUGAGAGGACGACCAGCCACAUUGGGACUGAGACACGGCCCAGACUCCUACGGGAGGCAGCAGUGGGGAAUUUUGGACAAUGGGGGCAACCCUGAUCCAGCCAUGCCGCGUGCGGGAAGAAGGCCUUCGGGUUGUAAACCGCUUUUGCCGGGGACGAAAAGCGAUGUGCCAAUACCACGUCGUGCUGACGGUACCCGGAGAAUAAGCACCGGCUAACUACGUGCCAGCAGCCGCGGUAAUACGUAGGGUGCGAGCGUUAAUCGGAAUUACUGGGCGUAAAGCGUGCGCAGGCGGCUGUGCAAGACAGAUGUGAAAUCCCCGGGCCCAACCUGGGAACUGCAUUUGUGACUGCACGGCUCGAGUGUGUCAGAGGAGGGCGGAAUUCCGCGUGUAGCAGUGAAAUGCGUAGAUAUGCGGAAGAACACCGAUGGCGAAGGCAGCCCUCUGGGGCACAACUGACGCUCAUGCACGAAAGCACGGGGAGCAAACAGGAUUAGAUACCCUGGUAGUCCGUGCCCUAAACGAUGUCAACUGAUUGUCUGGGGAGCGAUCCCUGGGUAACCAAGCCAACGCGUGAAGUUGACCGCCUGGGAAGUACGGUCGCAAGAUUAAAACUCAAAGGAAUUGACGGGGACCCGCACAAGCGGUGGAUGAUGUGGAUUAAUUCGACGCAACGCGAAAAACCUUACCUAGCCUUGACAUGUCGGGAAUCCUGGUGAAAGCCGGAUCCCGCAAG